GCUGGGCACGGUGGCGCACACCUGUAAUCCUAACAGCUUGGGAGGCUGAGGCAGGAGGAUUGAGUUCAAAGCCAGCCUCAGCAAUUUAGCGAGGCCCUAAGCAACUCAGUGAGACCCUGUCUCUA
RNAcentral lists this small RNA (125 nucleotides) under Marmota monax (woodchuck). Lineage: Eukaryota; Metazoa; Chordata; Mammalia; Rodentia; Sciuridae. The record is from RNAcentral.